GCAAGCAUGGCGUAGUGGUUUGAGUGUCGGACUAUGACUCUGGGGUCCAGGGUUCGAAUCCUGGCUCUUGGA
This is a non-coding RNA of Phrynosoma platyrhinos (Desert horned lizard), 72 nucleotides long. Lineage: Eukaryota; Metazoa; Chordata; Lepidosauria; Squamata; Phrynosomatidae. The record is from the annotation of a GenBank genome assembly.